RNAcentral lists this ribosomal RNA (960 nucleotides) under Triticum aestivum (bread wheat). RNAcentral's name for it is "partial small subunit ribosomal RNA". Lineage: Eukaryota; Viridiplantae; Streptophyta; Magnoliopsida; Poales; Poaceae. The record is from RNAcentral.
AUGCCGUCCUCCAGGGCCCCUUGUUGGGUCGCGCUGCUCCUCUUCGUUGCUCUGGUUGCCACCGCCAAUGGCAGCGAGCUCUUCGCGGGUUACUACGAGAAGACGUGCCCCAACGUGCAGCAUGUCGUGCGGUCAGUGAUGGCGAGCAGGGUCGCCGCCCAGCCGAGGAUGGCGCCGGCCGUCCUCCGCCUCUUCUUCCAUGACUGCUUCAUCAACGGAUGCGAUGCUUCCAUUCUCCUGGACGCAACUCCCUUCUCCCCCGGCGAGAAGGAUGUGAAGCCGAACGCCUCCCUCACCGGCUACACCGUCAUCGACGACAUCAAGUCCGCGCUAGAGCACGACUGCCCGGCCACUGUCUCCUGCGCCGACGUCAUCGCCCUUGCGUCCCGCGACGCAGUCGCCCUGCUCGGAGGUCCCACCUGGAGCGUGCCCCUCGGCCGCAAGGAUUCGCGCUUCGCCGCCGACCCGGAGUCCACCAAGAAAGGCCUCCCCAGCCCCAAAGACGACCUCGCCGAGCUAGUCACCAUGUUCGCAGAGCUCAACCUCGACGCUCGUGACAUGACCGCGCUCUCCGGUGCCCACACUGUCGGGAUGGCCAACUGCGAGACCUACAGGGACCGUGUCUACGGCCCCAAUGGCGACAUCGACCCCUCCUUCGCACAGACCACGCGACAGACGUGCCAGGGUACUUCUGGUAAGGCGCCGUUCGACGCGCAGACGCCGAUGAGGUUCGACAACGCUUACUACCGGAACCUUAUCGCGCGGCGUGGUCUCCUCACCUCCGACCAGACCCUAUACGGCGGUGGAGGUCUGCAGGACAAUCUCGUGGAGAUGUAUAGCGCCGACGGUGAGGCGUUCACGAGGGACUUCGCCAAGGCCAUGGUGAAGAUGGGAAACAUACCUCCGCCCAAAGGAAUGCCAGUGGAGGUGAGGCUCAAGUGCUCCAUGGCCAACCACUGA